Papaver somniferum (opium poppy) is the source of this 1815-nucleotide long non-coding RNA. RefSeq lists it as uncharacterized. NCBI's taxonomy places the organism in Eukaryota, Viridiplantae, Streptophyta, Magnoliopsida, Ranunculales, Papaveraceae. The record is from RefSeq and is a predicted model, not a curated record. The transcript has 3 exons.
UCGAACUCUCUCCCCUCCUCUCCUCCCACAGAUACCGCCGCUGUAAUAUUUUUGUCGAGAGAAAAAAAAAGAGAUCGAGAUAUAAAACAAGAGAUCGAGGGAGAAAAGGAUAGAGAGAGUUUGAUUCGAACCACUGAUGGUGGUUGAUUAGGGUUUUGGUUUAAAUCUGGAUCUAUCUUGCAACCAAGAAGAAAAAGGGGAUUUUGAUGUUUUAGAUGGCAGAAUACAACUGAAUCGAAGAUAAGGUGUUUACGAAUUGAAGGAAUAAGAAAUUAUGGGUUCGAUUUGUGGAAUUUGUGUUGCUGCUGCUAGAAAUCAAGUUUGGGUUGGAGGAGAAUAAAUUAGGUUUUUGAUGAAAUUGAAUUCACAGAGAGGAGUUGAUGGUUCGAUAUUUGAUGGGUUUUGUUGAUUUGUUGAAGAUGAACUCGAGAAUGAAUUUGUGAUGGGAAAUAGGAAUUAGGGUUCUGAACUGAGUUGAUGUUGGAGUUGGUGGAGAAGGAAAUUGGUAUUGUUUGUUCUCGAGCAGAAAUUAAGAAGAAACUGGUGCUUCUGUUGAAUUGAAAUGGUGGAUUAUUAUAAGUGAUAUGAAUGAUUAAGAUCUGAAAACCGGUGAGGAGAUGCAGAGACUCGGAGAUGAUGAGAUUGAAUGAAGAAGUUAUGCUAGAAGAAACUCAAAGUUUCUGGCCAUGUGAUUGGUAGAAGAUGGGGUUCAAAUUAAUAGAGGUUUUAAAGAAAUGGUGGGCGCCGUUCAACCAGGGAAAGAAAUUGGUUUGUGUAUGAGUUCGUUAAUUCAUGCUGAGUGCUGCCUUAAUUGGUCUUAUUUGGUGCUUUGUCGGAAUUCAGCUGAAGGUUUUAUAAGACAUCGUCGAUGGAGUGAUGGAGGAGUGGAACUCUGAAGAAGAAUGAUGAUGUUGUAUUCAAAGUUUGAGUGUUCUGAUGGCCGAAGGAAUUGCAGGCAGUGGUGAUUGUUCGGCAUACAACAAUAGAAUCCUGGGAUUCUAGCAUCCUACGGAGUUUGGGGUUCAUCCGGUCUGAAUUGGGUUGAGUUUGAAUGCGAAUUGCAGGUGGUUUCAGCAGCUGAUGGCCUUGAAGAGUUGGUUUGCAGGUAGAUAUGUUCAGGCGGUGCUGAAGAAUGAAUUUGGCUAAGGCUGAUGCUGUUGUGUGGUUGCAAUGAAACUGCAGGUGUGUUGCAGUGAGCUUGAUGGAGAAUACAAGGGGUCUGAUGUUAAGACUGAGAGAUUGUGAUGAUUGCAGGAUGUCUCAGCUUCAAUGGAGAUUGCAUCAAGGUGCAGUGUAAUAUGUGUGACAAAGAAUACCAUGAAACCAAGAGUUGUCCAUGGGUAUAUUCAAGGUGCAAACAUAUACCUUGUAAUGGAGUUAGAGCACUGUUGAGAUCUAAAACAGAUCAAACAAAUGGAAGGACCUUCUUCAAAUGUUUGAAUCCCACCUGCAAUUACUUUGAGUGGUUUGAUCUUGCUUCUUCUCCAACUACAGCACUUCAAAUCAAGCUUCCAAGUCCAAAUUGCUGCAUUGCCUGUGGAGAAGAAAACCAUUUUUUCAACAAUUGUCCAUUGCAAAAUCAAUCUUGCUUCAAACAGAACUGCAAUUCAAAGUUAGAACUAAAGGUUUGCAAGCACAAUGUCAAUAUAGCUUACCUGGUAUGCAAGAAGAAAGACUGUGAUGCUUUCAGAUGGGCAUCAGAUGCACUUGUAAUUGAAAAAAAAAAGAAACAUUGAAAGGGAAAGUACUAGAAAAUAUGUAAUGAAUUUAAGAAAAAUCUGAAAAUGUAAUGAAAUUAUAAUUUGUAAUUGAACA